RNAcentral lists this ribosomal RNA (278 nucleotides) under uncultured prokaryote. RNAcentral's name for it is "partial 16S ribosomal RNA". It matches the Rfam family "Bacterial small subunit ribosomal RNA", at positions 524 to 801 of the family's 1533-position model. The record is from RNAcentral.
AACGUAGGUGGCGAGCGUUGUCCGGAAUUAUUGGGCGUAAAGGGCGCGUAGGCGGAUAUUUAAGUCAGUUGUGAAACCUCCGGGCUCAACCCGGAACUUGCAGUUGAAACUGGAUAACUUGAGUGCAGGAGAGGACAGUGGAAUUCCUAGUGUAGCGGUGAAAUGCGUAGAUAUUAGGAGGAACACCAGUGGCGAAGGCGGCUGUCUGGACUGUAACUGACGCUGAGGCGCGAAAGCGUGGGGAGCAAACAGGAUUAGAUACCCGGGUAGUCCCUGAG